CCUACGGGGGGCUGCAGUGGGGAAUUUUGGACAAUGGGGGCAACCCUGAUCCAGCCAUGCCGCGUGAGUGAAGAAGGCCUUCGGGUUGUAAAGCUCUUUCAGCCGGGAAGAAAUCGCAUAGGCUAAUACCCUGUGUGGAUGACGGUACCGGAAUAAGAAGCACCGGCUAACUACGUGCCAGCAGCCGCGGUAAUACGUAGGGUGCGACCGGGAAUCGGAAUUACUGGGCGUAAAUAGUACGCAAGCGGUGAAAUCCCCGGGCUCAACCUGGGAACUGCGCUUGUGACUGCUAAGCUAGAGUACGGCAGAGGGGGGUGGAAUUCCACGUGUAGCAGUGAAAUGCGUAGAGAUGUGGAGGAACACCGAUGGCGAAGGCAGCCCCCUGGGCCGAUACUGACGCUCAUGCACGAAAGCGUGGGUAGCAAACAGGAUUAGAUACCCGAGUAGUC
RNAcentral lists this ribosomal RNA (449 nucleotides) under uncultured bacterium. RNAcentral's name for it is "partial 16S ribosomal RNA". It matches the Rfam family "Bacterial small subunit ribosomal RNA", at positions 338 to 795 of the family's 1533-position model. The record is from RNAcentral.